Phacochoerus africanus (Common warthog) is the source of this 2354-nucleotide long non-coding RNA. RefSeq lists it as uncharacterized. The transcript has 3 exons. The record is from RefSeq and is a predicted model, not a curated record. Lineage: Eukaryota; Metazoa; Chordata; Mammalia; Artiodactyla; Suidae.
AGAAGCGGUUCAGGCCAGAGAGAAGAACGGCCCAGGGCGGGGGUCGUAGAAACAGUGGAUGUCCUGGAAAUCUUCAAAUAGGAAAAGGUGAGGAGGGCUCAUCGUUUGCUUCCCAUUUAACGUGUAUCUUGUGUUACAUUUUGGUUUUGGCAUCGUAUUUCUUUUUCUUCCUCUUCUUCUCCUCUUCCUUCGUUCGUGAAAUGAACGUCUGCUGACACCGCAUCAGGUGGUGUGCUCUUUCUAGCUCAUGAGAUGAAUUGUUGGCAAAUGCUACAAAUCCAGACUUGAUGUAUUGCUUGGUUUCUCAAGUCUGGACUUGAGAAAACGAUAAAGAAAAUGUUAACACCUGAGACUAAAUUUCCACGUGGGUCGUGUCAGUAGCCGUUAGGCUGUGAAGAGCUAUGCCUCGACACAUAGAUUUGUCCCCCUCCAGGGCGCUGCUUGGGAGUUAUUUACGAUUGUACGACCGACUGCUGUCCAUCUUUAACCAGCCUCUCACUCUUUCUCUCUUGUUCUAGGUAGAGUUUCCAAUGGGCAAUGGAAAUGUCAUUCCUGGAGUCCUUCAAACGAGGGUUUCCAUAGAAUCUGGUCUCCCAAAUCGUGGUCACGCUGGGGCUUUCAUUCUCUUAAUGACUCUCCUUUAGGUCCCCAGUUGCUGGCAUUUCAGAUCAUCCUCAUUUGGGGUUUUGAUCUUUUUGGAGCAAAGCCUCAGGAAGCUACAUCAGAAAAGUUCAAUCUAGAUUUGUGUAUUUCUGGCAAUUAGAUUGGUUGAUCUGGUUGGAUGACUCGUUUAGCUGCCUGCCACAGGGCAGGUUCAAAACAUACCUUGCCUUCAGUUUCUGAAGUCAUUGCUCCCUCGUCCUGCAGUGUACAGACUUGAUGAGGCUUUCUGCUUUGACUCAUGGCUAACGUGGUCUCUCUUCUUAUUCUCCAGCUACUCAGCUUCUCUUUUAGAUAACCAGUACUGCUAGUUUCCAAGUAAGAUCGACCAUACCAUCAUGUAGUUGUGACAUGGUUUUCGGAUUCGCUUUGUUCCCAAUGCUUCGAGGAUCCACUCUUUGGGCCAAGUGAAGAUCAUUGACCUUUCGUCACUGUCUUUGUGCAAGAGGGAAAUACUUGCCCCUCUUUCUAAAGCUGGCUGGCAACCUCACGAAGCAUUUUUUCCCCUUGAAGCCUGAUCCUCCUUCAGUUUAUCAAAUCUAUGGCAUGGCCCGUAUAAUUUCUUGGUAAAAAUAACUUUGGACUCUCUUAGUAAUUCAUGAAGCGAAGAAAAACAAGUCUACCAUUAUGUCAGGAGGACGGAUCCAAAUCACGUGACCCUUGGAUGGCUCCCUCACCCCGGCAGGCACCACCUUUAGCUCCCAGGGCUUUAACAGGGAAAGAACAGGUCGGGAAAGCACCUGACCCGUCAUCCCAAGAGCAUCACUGUGCCUUCUGGCCUCCCCGAAGGAUGACACUCUCCUAAUGGUGAUCUGGGUCAUUUCUGUUGCAUCCCAGAGUGCUGGGCCGGAAUGGCUGGCCUCAGAUUGGCCCUCUGAGAGGCCGAGAAAGAGAGCGGGAACAGGCUCAAGCUAAAGAAAUUCCUCCCUCUUCAAGCCCCGAGGUGAGGCCACUGAUUGUUCUUUUCUGUGCCACAGCGACCCAGUCAGGAGAGAACCACUGCAGAGGCUGCCCAGCAUUCCUCCAGGAAAGAGCAUCAGGAGGGAACUCUUCCCUCAGGCAGCGGGAGGGCCCUGCUCACCAGGAGCCAUGUGAGGACCCACCCAACAGGGGACUGUCAGCAACUGGGAAAUCAAGGUUCCCUGAGUCCCAGGAAAGAUGUCUUACCAGCAGCAGCAGUGCAAGCAGCCCUGCCAGCCACCUCCUGUGUGCAUACCCAAGUGCCCUGAGCCAUGUCCACCCCCUAAGUGCCCUGAGCCAUGUCCACCUCCUUGCCCACCUGUGGUGUGCCCACCUCCAGUAUGCCAGCAGAAAUGCCCACCCUGCCCACCCUGCCCACCCUGCCCACCGUGCCCACCCUGCCAGCAGAAGUGUCCACCCAAGUGCCUGUAACAGCAGCAGACUUCCUCAGGACCAUGCAACAACGGGAUCCAGGCUCCUCUUGGUCCCAGGGCUCCCUCGUCCUCCCUUUGGCCAUGGUGAUAGACUGCAUCCUUCUCAACCUCCCUCCUGGAUUCACAGCUGACAGAGAAAAGGCUUGGUUCCCGAGGCUCAUAGCAUGUUGUUGGAAGAGCAGCAGCGUCAUGUCAUCGCCGAAUGGGGCUCCGCCAUCUGCCUGCCUGUGAUCUGGGUUGUGAUCUCCAGCCUCUGAGCGCUUCAGUGUGUCUCUUUUUCAGUUCUCCAAUAAAGGACAU